Molecule: long non-coding RNA, 1067 nt
Organism: Crotalus tigris (Tiger rattlesnake)
Lineage: Eukaryota; Metazoa; Chordata; Lepidosauria; Squamata; Viperidae
Exons: 3
Source: RefSeq, a predicted model, not a curated record
CCCCGAUUUCGUGCGAGAACCGAGAGGAGCGUGUCGUCGUCGUCGUCGUUUGGGCGGCGCCUGGCCACCCACAAGGCCAGCAUGUGACCCCGCCUCGGUUCAGCCGCCUGCCGCUGGGAGCCGAGAGGUGGCCGCCCUGCUGGAACCUUAACGGAGAGAAGACAUGCCCACCAUCACACCUUGAUCUCCAUCACACCUUGAUCUCCGGGACUGCGUGUAAUUACUCUGCCUUGCCUUCUCUGGAAACUACCUCCCAAAAAGGAGGAGUGAAACUAGUUCAAAAUUAGACAUACUACUACUAGAGACAUGAAGUCAGAAAACCUUAUCAUCAAGACCAUAAAGACACUUUGAAUCCACAAAUCACAGAGAAGAAAGAAUAUGCUACCAAACUACCACCUCAAAGAGCUUCUUGGUUUCCCUCAGAAACUGGAUCUUUUGCAUAUAUUUCUUUGUUGCCAACUAAGCCAUAGAUACAUUCAUUUAUUGCUUAUUGCCUAUCAAUCUGAUAUCUAAAGGAUGAGAGGCUUCAUCCAGGAAUAUUUUUUCCUCUCAGUGUAAAGUUUUGUAACGUGUAACCUAAACCUUGGAGUGUGACCUCCAGAAAAUCCCUGAAAAUUAAAGAUUUCAAUAUCACAUAACAGAACAAUUAUUAAAGCUAAUUUUGUUUUGUCAUCUUAAAAUGUAUAAUUCUAAGUAAUUUAAAUUUCUGUUUAGUCUUGCUUUUCCUUUAUGAAAUAAAGAGUGUAAAACAGUAUUUUUUGCUACUAGAGAUUUCUUUAUGUGUAACCUGAUUCUGAUUUCAGAAGCAGAAAUCAGUCAUUGUUUUUAAGGUGACCAACCGUCCUCCUUUUGGGAGGACAGUCCUCCUUUUUUGAGUUCUGUCCUCCCUCAAAAAGUGUCCUCCUAAAUGUCCUUCUUUUCCAUAUACUGUCCUCCUUUUGGGAGGACAGUCUUCCUUUGGGGAGUUCUGUCCUCACUUGAAAAUGUCCUCCUAAAUGUCCUCUUUUUCUAUAUUUGAAGACUUAACUGCAGGGCUUUUUUUUCCUCAUAGAACGCCCAGAAGGCGU